RNAcentral lists this ribosomal RNA (125 nucleotides) under Chinchilla lanigera (long-tailed chinchilla). Lineage: Eukaryota; Metazoa; Chordata; Mammalia; Rodentia; Chinchillidae. The record is from RNAcentral.
GUCUAUGGCCAUUCCGCCCUGAAGGCGCCCGAUCUCGACUGAUCGCGGAAGCUAAGCAGGGUCGGGCCUGGCUAGUACUUGGAUGGGAGAAAAGUGAGGGUCCUGAGGCCAGGUUCCCCAAGAAC